AAGGAAUAUUGGUCAAUGGACGCAAGUCUGAACCAGCCAUGCCGCGUGAAGGAUGAAGGUCCUCUGGAUUGUAAACUUCUUUUAUCUGGGACGAAAACGGGAUUUUUAUCUCAAUUGACGGUACCAGAGGAAUAAGCACCGGCUAACUCCGUGCCAGCAGCCGCGGUAAUACGGAGGGUGCGAGCGUUAUCCGGAUUUACUGGGUUUAAAGGGUGCGUAGGUGGGCUUAUAAGUCAGUGGUGAAAUCUCCGAGCUUAACUUGGAAACUGCCGUUGAUACUAUAGGUCUUGAAUUAUCUGGAGGUAAGCGGAAUAUGUCAUGUAGCGGUGAAAUGCUUAGAUAUGACAUAGAACACCAAUUGCGAAGGCAGCUUACUGCAUAUAAAUUGACGCUGAGGCACGAAAGCGUGGGGAUCAAACA
RNAcentral lists this ribosomal RNA (420 nucleotides) under uncultured bacterium. RNAcentral's name for it is "bacterial SSU rRNA". It matches the Rfam family "Bacterial small subunit ribosomal RNA", at positions 356 to 774 of the family's 1533-position model. The record is from RNAcentral.